GUAUUGACUAUCAUUAAGAGGCCA
RNAcentral lists this non-coding RNA (24 nucleotides) under Rattus norvegicus (Norway rat). The record is from RNAcentral. Lineage: Eukaryota; Metazoa; Chordata; Mammalia; Rodentia; Muridae.